UACAGAGGUCUCAAGCGUUGUUCGGAUUCAUUGGGCGUAAAGGGUGUGUAGGUGGCGCGCUAAGUCGGGUGUGAAAUUUCGGAGCUUAACUCCGAAACUGCAUUCGAUACUGGCGUGCUUGAGGACUGGAGAGGAGACUGGAAUUUACGGUGUAGCAGUGAAAUGCGUAGAUAUCGUAAGGAAGACCAGUGGCGAAGGCGGGGCUCUGGACAGUUCCUGACACUGAGACACGAAGGCCAGGGGAGCAAACGGG
RNAcentral lists this ribosomal RNA (253 nucleotides) under uncultured bacterium. RNAcentral's name for it is "partial 16S ribosomal RNA". It matches the Rfam family "Bacterial small subunit ribosomal RNA", at positions 524 to 776 of the family's 1533-position model. The record is from RNAcentral.